ACCAUCAGGAUGUUCCACUAUGCCACACUUACAUGACAUGACAAAAAUUGUAAAUUUGUAGUCCUGAGCAAGCAAUUUUCAAAUUCUCCUUUUAUUGAUGAUCUGGUCAUUGCUUCAACUGAUAAUUCCGACGUUAUGUUUUAAUCUGCAGAUUCCUCCUGCAUGUCAUGACUGAUCUGGCUAACCAAAUUAAGAGAGGAGCUGCUGACAUGAGGUUACACAUGCCCUAUGCUGAUCCAUCAGAGGAGGUCUGCUAAUAAACUGGUCUUAUUUAUGUGGUCUGGAAACAAUAUGAUGAUGAUUAGAAUAACCCAUCGAACUCCACAAGAUGAAGCCAUGGUCUCAGUGUUGCUUGGCAAUUGGUGAGGCUUUCUGAAAGUGUACAGCAAUGUUAGCAUGGGGAAGGUCAACACUGUCAACAAUGAUGUAGUUUUCCAGCCAUGUGCAAAGUGGCACCUUGGUAUCACUGGUGGCAUGCAGGUACAGGGCAAGAUGCAGGACAUCAACAUCUGUGCAAGUGUCAACCAGGAACUUCAUCCCAGGUGGUCAUAGAUGCAGAGCAGUGUAGAUGAAGAGUGGUGGUAUAUAUGCUCUACUAGUGUUAGCUGCUGGUGCUUCUUAUUAUGUUGCGAGCAGUUCAGUAUUUGAUGGCACAGCGUCUUUCUGAAACUUGUAGCUUUUUGCCACCAAGUUCCUUAGACAACUGCUGAAGGAAAGAGCUGGUACUUGAAGAUUGUAGAGAUGAUAAUGUCAGAUUCUUGUGUAAUAAUGCUUGGCAGCAGACUCGCAGCAUUGGUUAACUUCUGUAUUGAUUGUGUGAGAGGUCUUUAAGCGCCAAGAUGAGGAAUGAAGAUAGACGAGUUGGGUGUUCACUGCCAAUUAUAAUCUUUUCUAGAAUUCCAUUUUUUGUCUAAACAAUUAUUCUUUGUUAGAUAUCUGAUUCAAGAUUGAGUAAGACCAAGAUCUUGUGACCUUUUCUGCUUUGCAUCGCUUGGUAGGUUAACUGCCUUCUCUUAUUACCCUCAGCCUGUAGAUAAAAGACAGGUAGUUGUUAGAUCACACAAGCAAUAUGUCUCUUAACAUCUAUUCUCUGUGAUGCAUCAUAUGUCAGGCUUACACAAGCAAUUUUUUUAUUUCUUUUCUUCCUUACUACCAUACAGUUCCAGCACAGUGAGAAUCCUUUCAUGUGCUUCCUCCUAUCUAGUCUGCAGCUACAAUUCUGUAAUCCCCACAAUUGAUUCUAAAAGUAUAACUGUUAUGCACAUCCACAAUAAAGUUUUUCUCUCUUUCCAGUAGCUAUAGUGUUAAGCCACGUCCACAUGGUCGAGCAGUGUUCGUCGGGCACGAAGGUUUUGCCCGUGUACGAUCUGUUUCAGCGGGCAAACCAUCAAACUGUCUGCUCCCGGCGCCAUUAGAGGGCAGUGGAUAGUCCAGGAUAGAGGUCUUCCGUCACUGCCAAACGCUUAAGGCAGAGCCCACGCACACAAGGGACCUUGCACGCAUCCACUCACGCAGCCGACUUCAUUGAGGUGUACGCCAUCCGUCAAGAAGUCCAUGGCUUCCUUCUGAGUAGCAUCCAAGUCAAAGAAGCUGCUGUUGCCUUUCUUGGCCCUCAGCCAGGCCAACUUCAGCUUCAGUACCUCCACCUGGAUCUUGCUGUUCGUCCGUCUACUCAGUUGCUUGUACCGGUCUCUUUCCCUUGGUCGUCUGAUGACGACCACCAGUCACACUCAGGUUCUUGCCUUCAGCAGUUUUCACUGCCUCUACCUCCUUUACUGUCGCUUCUCCAAUUCUA
This 1795-nucleotide long non-coding RNA is filed under the name Portunus trituberculatus (swimming crab). RNAcentral's name for it is "uncharacterized LOC123506559". Lineage: Eukaryota; Metazoa; Arthropoda; Malacostraca; Decapoda; Portunidae. The record is from RNAcentral.